RNAcentral lists this microRNA precursor (101 nucleotides) under Oryzias latipes (Japanese medaka). RNAcentral describes it as "microRNA ola-mir-190b precursor". Its record names the gene ola-mir-190b. The stretch from base 11 to 92 matches the Rfam family "mir-190 microRNA precursor family". Lineage: Eukaryota; Metazoa; Chordata; Actinopteri; Beloniformes; Adrianichthyidae. The record is from miRBase by way of RNAcentral.
UGACCUGCUAGAGGCUGUGUGAUAUGUUUGAUAUUCGGUUGUUCUUGUGCUUCAUCAUGUCAACUAAAUAUCAGACAUAUUCCAACAGACUCUGGCCCUCA